GAUGAACGCUAGCGGCAGGCCUAAUACAUGCAAGUCGAACGAGGCUCGGUAGCAAUAUCAAGCUUAGUGGCGCACGGGUGCGUAACGCGUAUGCAACCUACCUUCAACUGGGGAAUAGCCCCUCGAAAGAGGGAUUAAUACCCCAUAGUAAUCUGAAGUGGCCUCACUUUAGGUUUAAAGUUCCGACGGUUGAAGAUGGGCAUGCGUGACAUUAGCUAGUUGGUGAGGUAACGGCUCACCAAGGCUACGAUGUCUAGGGGUUCUGAGAGGAUGAUCCCCCACACUGGUACUGAGACACGGACCAGACUCCUACGGGAGGCAGCAGUAAGGAAUAUUGGUCAAUGGACGAAAGUCUGAACUAGCCAUGCCGCGUGAAGGAUGACGGCCCUAUGGGUUGUAAACUUCUUUUAUGCGGGAAUAAACCCGGGUACGUGUACCCGGCUGAAUGUACCGUAAGAAUAAGGAUCGGCUAACUCCGUGCCAGCCGCCGCCGUAA
This 496-nucleotide ribosomal RNA is filed under the name uncultured bacterium. RNAcentral describes it as "partial 16S ribosomal RNA". It matches the Rfam family "Bacterial small subunit ribosomal RNA", at positions 28 to 523 of the family's 1533-position model. The record is from RNAcentral.